GGUUACAGCCAUACCACCAUGAACGUGCCUGAUCCUGGAAGCUAAGCAGGGCCAGGCCUGGUUAGUACUUUGGAUGGAAAAACCGAGGUCCCAGGGCAAACCA
Molecule: ribosomal RNA, 103 nt
Filed under: Nannospalax galili (Upper Galilee mountains blind mole rat)
Lineage: Eukaryota; Metazoa; Chordata; Mammalia; Rodentia; Spalacidae
Source: RNAcentral